CACGUGUGCAACUCUGGGGUGAAAGACACCAGCUUCUUCUGCAGAUUACCUGUAUCAUUUGGGUUUGAAGCAUAUUCUGAUGUGUCUUUGUGAAUACCAGUUUAUUCUCAAGGAUUUUAGGUUGUCUUUUCUUUUCUUUUUUUUUUUUUUCUAUUUCGUUUAGAGCUUUUCUUCCUGAUGGCUUAUCUACCGAUCAAAGCAACUUCUACCUCACCAGCAGAUACAGAGGCAACUUCUUCCAUAGAUUUCUUCACCAGUUUUCCUUAGCUGUCUCCUUGGAACAUUUGAAAUCCUCUGGUUCUUUGGCACCCAAAUAUGAAGGUCAUUUCAUCAAAGGCCUAAAAUUUUCAUAGAGAGGAUUUGAGAAAGGUGAUCUCAAUAAAAUACAAAAAAAAAAAGGAAGAAAAGCUACAGUAAAAGAAAUAUUGCUACUUAUAUAUGCAAACGAAGACUGAGGACAACUAUUAUCAGCUUUCUACUCUUAAGAAUUAUUUAAGUUGCUACUCCUACUUCUACAUUUGGACAUUGGUUUACCAUGCCAUUUUUCCUUAUAUAUAUUUAAAAAAUCUCUUAAAAAUUAAAAUGGUAGUAUGCAUGUUUUCAGGCCAAAUAUAUAUUUCCAAACUGUUCUAAAUUUGUUACUACUGUGUUUUUACUCCUGAGUAAUCAAUAACAUUGAGUAAUAAAGACAGAAUUAUUUAUGUAUAAAUAAAAAUUCUCAUGAGAAUUUUUGUCUAUUUUUCCUUUUCUGAGUUGAAAAGCAGCCAUUUUCAACAUAGCUAAUUGUUGCUACAGUAUCAUUUUAAAUUAAUGUGGUACAGUGUAUGCUGAAAUAGCAGUGGAAAAAUAUUUAAGUUUUAACAAUGCUCUACUCAGGUAAAUAUCCCUGCAGGAAUCAAAAUUAAUAAAUAUUAUCUUCAGUAUACAUAAUACAAUAUAAUAUCUUUAAUAGGAGUUGCCAUUUUACUGAAUAUCUUCCAUUUGAUGUUUGUGAAAAGUUUGUUCAUUGACAUAGCUCAAUAAUAUUCCAUUUUACAAAUAUACCACAAUUAAUUAACCUAUCCUUCUGUAGAUAGACAUAUGGGUUUCUUUCCUUAUUAUACAUCAUAUUAAACUUUUAUAUUAUGAACAGUUCAUUGAAUCUAUUGAUCCAUUUGUGGAGAAUUUAUAUCUUUAUGAUAUUGAUUUUUCUUCCUAGAGGUAUAAUAUGCCUUUCCAUUUAUUUGAAUCAUUUUUAAUGUUUUAAAAUUUAGAUACAUUUAAUUAAUGUGUGUGUAUCUGUAUGUAAGCUUACUGCAAUGCUAAACAGGUAAAUAUUCAGAACACUCUGUAAAAAAAAAAAAAAGUUGAACUUCCACCUUAAUUACUGACUUUUUUUUAAUUAAUUGUAAGCAGAAAUGGGAUACUGUUUUCUCUGCCACAUUUCUGUCACCUGUGGUCAUAAUCCCUCGAGCUGUAUAAGGGAAGUUGUCUGUUCAAAUCAUGCAGUGUUCUUAUGUCACAAACCAAAACCUGAGUCUAUUAUGCUGAGCUAAUCUGCUUUGACCUGGGUAAUUUCCAUCCUGGGUUGAUCUGAUCUGCCAGGAGGUUUGGCCGUCAGAUUUUGGUGACUUCUGCUCCUCAGAGAAUUCUCAGAAUCCCAAAUUGCACCCCAUCUCACUAAGAGUGUGGAGAGGAAAAGACAGAAGGAUAGAAAAAGAGAAGGAGGAGGAAAAGGAAGUAUCUAUCUACAUGUUUAUAUCUAUACCUUUAUUUAUACUCACAGUAAAGGACAUUUGUCAGAAUAGCCCCCAAACACUAUUGCCGCACCAACAUCUAUUAAAAUAUAAACCAUCUUUAAUAAAUACUGAGCUGUGUAAAUAUUUAUUUGCAUGCAAAAGAAAAGCUCUUUAGUAUUCUUAAGCCAGACUGAGCAGUCAACAGAUGAUUUUGAUAAAUGUCUGUUCAUUACCUGAACAUUUCCAUUGCAAUAUAAAACAAAGAUUUCAUCUACAUUUUAUUUUUGCUCCAUGAAUGGUUCCACACUUUCUAAUCAGUGUUAUUUUUAAGAUUAAAUUUGGAUAGUAAUGUAAAUAU
This 2076-nucleotide long non-coding RNA is filed under the name Homo sapiens (human). Its description in RNAcentral is "non-protein coding lnc-GRXCR1-5:1". Lineage: Eukaryota; Metazoa; Chordata; Mammalia; Primates; Hominidae. The record is from RNAcentral.